CCCAGACUCCUACGGGAGGCAGCAGUGAGGAAUAUUGGUCAAUGGGCGAGAGCCUGAACCAGCCAAGUCGCGUGAGGGAGUACUGCCCUAUGGGUUGUAAACCUCUUUUGUCGGGGAGCAAAAGCCGGACGUGUCCGGCUGUGAGAGUACCCGAAGAAAAAGCAUCGGCUAACUCCGUGCCAGCAGCCGCGGUAAUACGGAGGAUGCGAGCGUUAUCCGGAUUUAUUGGGUUUAAAGGGUGCGCAGGCGGAUUUUUAAGUCAGCGGUCAAAUCGUGGGGCUCAACCCCAUCCAGCCGUUGAAACUGGCUGUCUUGAGAUGUCGAGAGGUAUGCGGAAUGCGCAGUGUAGCGGUGAAAUGCUUAGAUAUUGCGCAGAACUCCGAUUGCGAAGGCAGCAUACCGGCGGCGAUCUGACGCUGAGGCACGAAAGCGUGGGUAUCGAACAGGAUUAGAUACCCGGGUAC
Molecule: ribosomal RNA, 464 nt
Filed under: uncultured bacterium
Lineage: Bacteria
Description: partial 16S ribosomal RNA
Rfam family: Bacterial small subunit ribosomal RNA
Source: RNAcentral